GAUAAGGAUGAUGAGGAAAAGCCAAAGA
Molecule: non-coding RNA, 28 nt
Filed under: Cricetulus griseus (Chinese hamster)
Lineage: Eukaryota; Metazoa; Chordata; Mammalia; Rodentia; Cricetidae
Source: RNAcentral